UAACCUGCCCAAGAGAUCGGGAUAACACCUGGAAACAGAUGCUAAUACCGGAUAACAACAGAUGAUGCCUAUCAACUGUUUAAAAGAUGGUUCUGCUAUCACUCUUGGAUGGACCUGCGGUGCAUUGGCUAGUUGGUAGGGUAACGGCCUACCAAGGCGAUGAUGCAUAGCCGAGUUGAGAGACUGAUCGGCCACAUUGGGACUGAGACACGGCCCAAACUCCUACGGGAGGCAGCAGGC
This 240-nucleotide ribosomal RNA is filed under the name uncultured Lactobacillus sp. Its description in RNAcentral is "partial 16S ribosomal RNA". It matches the Rfam family "Bacterial small subunit ribosomal RNA", at positions 122 to 354 of the family's 1533-position model. Lineage: Bacteria; Bacillati; Bacillota; Bacilli; Lactobacillales; Lactobacillaceae. The record is from RNAcentral.